Molecule: ribosomal RNA, 450 nt
Filed under: uncultured organism
Description: partial 16S ribosomal RNA
Rfam family: Bacterial small subunit ribosomal RNA
Source: RNAcentral
CGUACACUCCUGCGGGGGGCAGCAGUGGGGAAUAUUGGACAAUGGGCGCAAGCCUGAUCAAGCCAUGCCGCGUGAGUGAUGAAGGCCCUAGGGUUGUAAAGCUCUUUCACCGGAGAAGAUAAUGACGGUAUCCGGAGAAGAAGCCCCGGCUAACUUCGUGCCAGCAGCCGCGGUAAUACGAAGGGGGCUAGCGUUGUUCGGAAUUACUGGGCGUAAAGCGCACGUAGGCGGAUCGAUCAGUCAGGGGUGAAAUCCCAGGGCUCAACCCUGGAACUGCCUUUGAUACUGUCGAUCUGGAGUAUGGAAGAGGUGAGUGGAAUUCCGAGUGUAGAGGUGAAAUUCGUAGAUAUUCGGAGGAACACCAGUGGCGAAGGCGGCUCACUGGUCCAUUACUGACGCUGAGGUGCGAAAGCGUGGGGAGCAAACAGGAUUAGAUACCCUUGUAGUCCC